Molecule: ribosomal RNA, 253 nt
Filed under: uncultured bacterium
Lineage: Bacteria
Description: partial 16S ribosomal RNA
Rfam family: Bacterial small subunit ribosomal RNA
Source: RNAcentral
UACAGAGGGUGCAAGCGUUGUUCGGAAUUAUUGGGCGUAAAGGGUGCGUAGGAGGUUUGUGAAGGGGAACGGGAAAACUCAGGGCUUAACCCAGAGCCUGCAUUCAAUACUGGCAGGCUAGAGUUCUGGAGGGGAUAGCGGAAUUCCUGGUGUAGCGGUGAAAUGCGUAGAUAUCAGGAGGAACACCGGUGGCGAAGGCGGCUAUCUGGACAGAGUCUGACGCUGAGGCGCGAAAGCUAGGGGAGCAAACAGG